This 204-nucleotide ribosomal RNA is filed under the name uncultured bacterium. RNAcentral describes it as "partial 16S ribosomal RNA". It matches the Rfam family "Bacterial small subunit ribosomal RNA", at positions 355 to 551 of the family's 1533-position model. The record is from RNAcentral.
UAGGGAAUCUUCCACAAUGGACGCAAGUCUGAUGGAGCAACGCCGCGUGAGUGAAGAAGGUCUUCGGAUCGUAAAGCUCUGUUGUUGGUGAAGAAGGAUAGAGGCAGUAACUGGUCUUUAUUUGACGGUAAUCAACCAGAAAGUCACGGCUAACUACGUGCCAGCAGCCGCNGUACUACGUAGGUGGCAAGCGUUGUCCGGAUU